CCUACGGGAGGCUGCAGUGGGGAAUAUUGCACAAUGGGGGAAACCCUGAUGCAUCGACGCCGCGUGAGUGAAGAAGUAUUUCGUUACGUAAAGCUCUAUCCGCAGGGACGAAAAUGACGGGACCUGACUAAGAAGCCACAGCUACCUACGUGACAGCAGCCGCUGUAAUACGUAGGGGGCACGCGUUAUUCAGAUUUACGGGGGGGAAAGGGAGCGUCGACGGCAGCGCAAGUAUGGAGUGAAAUCCCAGGGCGUAACCAUGGCACUGCGUUGGAAACUGUGCAGCGAGAGUGGAGGAGAGGGAAGCGGAAUUCCUAGUGUAGCGGUGAAAUGCGUAGAUAUUAGGAGGAACACCAGUGGCGAAGGCGGCUUACUGGACUGUAACUGACGUUGAGGCUCGAAAGCGUGGGGAGCAAACAGGAUUAGAUACCCCUGUAGUC
RNAcentral lists this ribosomal RNA (440 nucleotides) under uncultured bacterium. Its description in RNAcentral is "partial 16S ribosomal RNA". It matches the Rfam family "Bacterial small subunit ribosomal RNA", at positions 338 to 795 of the family's 1533-position model. The record is from RNAcentral.